Molecule: long non-coding RNA, 928 nt
Filed under: Vigna radiata
Lineage: Eukaryota; Viridiplantae; Streptophyta; Magnoliopsida; Fabales; Fabaceae
Description: long non-coding RNA (VRAD_LNC018612)
Source: RNAcentral
AUUUUCUUUUUGAUUAAUUGAUAAAAACAUUUGCUUUAUUUUGAAUUUUUUUUUUUUGCUUGAGUCAGUCAUCUUACUUGCAAUCAUCAAACUGGUCUUUAUUUUCAAGAUUUUGUGAAAUUUGAGGAACGUCAUGCAUCCGAGGUCUAAAUUUGAGAUUAUUACAUUUUGACUUUUUUUUUCUUUCGAGACAUUAGUGAACACAUGCUUGAAUUUGUUGGCAAGUGGAGAAGUGAGAGUUGUUUAGAAGGGUUUAGAGGAGAAUGGGGUAAUUGUAUGGACAAGUCAUUCCUCAUAUAAUCCUCAAAGGAGAUUUGAUAUGAGAAUGUCAGGGUGAACACGAGAUACACAAAGGGCGCCCCAGCUUGAUGUUAUGGAAAAUGAGCUGGGGUUUGGAUAAAUGAAAGUUAGGGUGAGAAAAUUUCAAAUGAGAUUUGCAAAGCUGCCCCGGUCUUGAGGUUAUGGAUUGAUGAAAAACUUGUGUGAGACUCACAAAGCCGCCCAAUUUUUGUUUGCUUUUUUUUUUAUUGUGGUAUGGGUUGACGAAAAAACUCAAGUGAGACUCACAAAGUUGUCCGGGUUUUUUCUUUGGCAAGGGGUUUCAUUUGGAAGAGGUAUUGGACAUGAAAAGGAUCGACUAAAAGGAUGACCCCAAAUUAGUUUUAUUUUUCUUUUGAAUGCUCCUGGUUAGAUGGCAGAGUGAUCCCUUAUUCCCGAGACAUUACUUUUUCUUCUUUUUUUUUCUUUUUUUUUCUGUUCUCUUUUUAUUUUAUUUUUUUACGACACAUUGAAAAUCAUUUCCCCUUAUCGCAAAAUUAAGCUUCAUGAAAANUUUANCAAACAUUAUCCAAUCUGUGUGGACUUUAUUAAGCUUGUAACGUGGCUAAGGGCUAAAAGGUAUUGAAAGAAAGGAUAUAAAGGCCCAAAU